UACGUAGGGGGGCAAGCGUUGUCCGGAAUCAUUGGGCGUAAAGCGCGUGUAGGCGGCUCGAUAAGUCUGCUGUGAAAGUCCAGGGCUCAACCCCUGGGGAUGCCGGUGGAUACUGUCGAGCUCGAGUCCGGAAGAGGCGAGUGGAAUUCCUGGUGUAGCGGUGAAAUGCGCAGAUAUCAGGAGGAACACCGAUGGCGAAGGCAGCUCGCUGGGACGUGGACUGACGCUGGAGGCAUGAAAGCGUGGGGAGCAAACAGG
Molecule: ribosomal RNA, 258 nt
Filed under: uncultured bacterium
Lineage: Bacteria
Description: partial 16S ribosomal RNA
Rfam family: Bacterial small subunit ribosomal RNA
Source: RNAcentral